Molecule: ribosomal RNA, 433 nt
Filed under: uncultured bacterium
Lineage: Bacteria
Description: partial 16S ribosomal RNA
Rfam family: Bacterial small subunit ribosomal RNA
Source: RNAcentral
AACGAACGCUGGCGGCAGGCCUAACACAUGCAAGUCGAGCGAGAUCUUCGGGUCUAGCGGCGGACGGGUGAGUAACGCGUGGGAAUAUGCCUCUUGGUACGGAAUAGCCUCGGGAAACUGGGAGUAAUACCGUAUGUGCCCUUUGGGGGAAAGAUUUAUCGCCAAGCGAUUAGCCCGCGUUGGAUUAGGUAGUUGGUGGGGUAAUGGCCUACCAAGCCGACGAUCCAUAGCUGGUGUGAGAGGAUGAUCAGCCACACUGGGACUGAGACACGGCCCAGACUCCUACGGGAGGCAGCAGUGGGGAAUCUUAGACAAUGGGGGCAACCCUGAUCUAGCCAUGCCGCGUGAGUGAUGAAGGCCUUAGGGUUGUAAAGCUCUUUCAGCUGGGAAGAUAAUGACGGUACCAGCAGAAGAAGCCCCGGCUAACUCCGUG